Long non-coding RNA from Mauremys mutica (yellowpond turtle), 1163 nucleotides. RefSeq lists it as uncharacterized. The transcript has 5 exons. Lineage: Eukaryota; Metazoa; Chordata; Testudines; Geoemydidae. The record is from RefSeq and is a predicted model, not a curated record.
ACUAGCAUAGGAAGCUUGUAGCCUCUCUUCCUGAGGUAAAGGAGAAGAAAUGGGGGACUGAUAAGAACCCUUAAGAAAGAAUUUAGCUAGGAGGCCUGAGAGAGGGGUUUAACUAGGAAUACUAUGGACAAGGCUUAAAGAAGCAUGGUAGGAAGUAGUCCAGGGAAGACAGCAGUAGGGUGGGUGAAGUCCAGGUUUUAAUGGCUUGCUAUAGGGCCCUGGACUGGAACCCUGAGUAAGGGCAGGCCUGGAUUUCCUUACCAUCCACUGCAGAGUAGUAUUGGUACAGGUAAUGAAUGGGAAGACUGCCUGACUCACUGCAGGAGUGAUAUAGUCAGAGCACUGGGUACGAGGACUACCUGAUGUAGGAGGAGAAGAGAGACUUUGUUUUCCCCUUCCAGGGGAGUCUUUCAAAGUGACCUGGGCUGAGUUACAAAGUGUCUAUACUGCGACUCCAUGAGCAGGAAGAGAGCUGCAGCAAUGGAAGAAAAGGAAGGAGGCACUGAAGCAGAUAGAGCUCAUCUCCAGAGGGAGGCACCACCCAGCUCUGUUUUCCAGGCUUCGUGUAGCAUUCUGAGUAUGCAUUUUCUAUGAUUGAACCUCUACAAAAGAACCUGAUCUCAAAAGCACUGCAGUUUCUGGUACCAGCUCUAGUUAAAGCUGUUUUUGGAAAGAAGAAAAACCUGUUAAAUGUCCAUCGAGGAGCCACAAAAAUAUUCAUAGGUGGGAGGUCAUGUUGUUGUUUUUCUGCACCCAGGAUUCAGGCCUGGGGACACAAUUUCAUGGACCACCAUGGCCAAAUCUAAGCCCAACAAGAUGGAGUGCAGCCACUUGACCAGUUACAGGUUGCUUGUUUGCUCCAAAGAUUUAAUAACUUGAGACGGUGAUUUUCAACCUGUGGUCUGCCAGAGGACUGCCAGAUAUCCGCAUACAAUGCCUAAGAUUUCCAUAGACGUCUGCACCUCCAUUUGAAAUUUUUUUUUAGGGCUCCACAAAGGAAAAAAGCUUAAAAACCACUGAUCUAAGACAAGACUGAAUGUUUUGCUUCUUUACCACCUAGCAUGCAAGGGCUCCAAGCCUGACUGGGGCCUAAGAACAUUAUCUUAAUACAAAUAUAACCCUUCCUAAUUAGUAUUGUUGUUUAUUUAAACUGCUUCAAAAUA